Molecule: transfer RNA, 79 nt
Filed under: Thermoprotei archaeon
Lineage: Archaea; Thermoproteati; Thermoproteota; Thermoprotei
Description: tRNA-Val
Rfam family: tRNA
About the family: Transfer RNA (tRNA) molecules are approximately 80 nucleotides in length. Their secondary structure includes four short double-helical elements and three loops (D, anti-codon, and T loops).
Source: RNAcentral
GGGCCCGUCGUCUAGCCUGGUCUAGGACGCCGCCCUUACGAGGCGGAGGUCCGGGGUUCAAAUCCCCGCGGGCCCACCA